CUGAGCACAAUUUCUGUUCUCCUCCUGAAGCCAAGUUCUGAACCUGAAGCACUAUUUCUGGGUUCGCCGAGUCUGCAACCUGAGGCGCCUGUAACCCGAGGGGCCACUUUACCAAGGAGGGUCCUCCCUUCCCUCUGGCUGGGAGAUGGGAAUAAGAUCUGAAUGGCGGCGCCCCUCUUUUAUUGGGGGUCCAAGGGCGCCUCCUGAGGCGGCCAGUUCCCCAGGCCGGCGCCAGGAACCCCGCCUCCUCCUCUCCGGCCCGAGGCUUCCCCGGAGGCCGCGGCCAGGGCGCUUCCCGUCCGGCUGGCGGCCAUGGCGGGUCCGCGGGGCGGGAGGGCGCUGGCCUUGCUGCUGCUGCUGCUGCUUCGGGCCAGAGGCCCCCUCGGCUGCUCCGCCGCCGCCCCGCCGUCGGGAGAGCUACGCUCACCUCUUUUAAUCUGCCGUGUUGACAAUAACAGCAUCCAGGUGUUCUGCAUGCCAGGCUUCCAGCAUCCACCUGUGACCUACCACUGGGAAUUAAAAAAUACAUUUAUUUCUGACCAGCCUGUGGUCAGCAUUAAGGGAAGCCUAAACCUUUCUGAGCAAAUCACAUGUACCAUAACCACCGCCACUUCAAAUGCCAGCACAUCCAUCAGUGUGCAAAAGUGUUACCUGUCAGGAAUUUCUGCUAAUGGAAGAAAUAGACGCAUCACCCGAGUGCUGUUCAUAAUAUGUGUCAUCGUGAUGGUAGUAGUAAGCUGGUUCCUCCUGUAUAGAAAAUCUCUGGCAGCGGAAAGAUGAAAACAGCCCUCAUUGGAGCAAAGGGGGAGAACCGGCAUGUAGAAGAAGGAAUUUGACAGCACAGCUGAUUUCUUUGGCUCCUGUUCUCUGCUUUUGACUCACAUCUGGAACAAUUAUUUCAUGAAUCCAUUGUAUGGAUUUUGUUUAUUAUAUAUUAUUGAUCCAGCGGGAUCCACUUUCUUUCUUUUCUUUUUUUAAAAAUAUAUUUAUUGAAAUUUUAAAUAGUAAAACAAACUUCCCAAUCAGCCAAAAAAGAAACACAUCAUCACCCAGCGGGAUCCACUUUCACCUCUUCCACAUUUUUGCACUGAAAUUUCAAAGAUGAGAAGACAUUUUGUCAAGUGGCUGUUCAUAUUUGAUGCCGUGAGCUGGGUUUUUAUUUUAUUUUAUUGCCAAUAUUUACUUUUAACGAAGUUGCAAGAAAUUGGUAAGCAGGAAUAGAGCAAGUUAGAGCUAUUGAGAUUCUUACAGUUACAAUUGGCUGUUGUUUAAGGAGAAUUAGACGUGUGCCGGUGCCUGCUCCCGAUUUUCCUUAAUUUCCAUAAAUAUGUACAAAAUAUGCACAAUUGCCUUCUUAAUGGCGUAUAUUUUAUCCUCUCCUGCAUGACUUGGUUGCAUCCCUCUCCAGUGUCUUAGGUGAUAAGGUUUCUUCAAGAUUUGUCAAAGCACAUUGGAAUAGAACUGUUUGCACCCCAAAGCACUGAGAGAGUCUGGCAGCACCUUAAAGGGCAUUUAUUGUGGCAUAGCCUUUGGUGGACUGUAGACCACUUCGUCAGGUGUGCAGAAUGUUAUUUAGAGAUAGAGAUAUAUAUGUUAGGGGUAAUGUGCACAUUUCCCAGCCGAUACCCAUAAUAUCCAGCAGGUCUUGGGGAAUAGCUCAGGUGACCUUCAUUCAUUCUGCUUGCUUGGUUUUUUUUUUUUAAUCUCUAAUUCAGAAGUGCAGGCUGCUGUUCCUCAGGCUGCUUUUGACUGCCUAAUUCUGCAUCGAUCACAGCCACUGAGCACUGGAAGAAAGGUUGGAGCUCCAGAUAAAGAUUUGUUUUCUUGGUGCAGGUGCAAAUAUUUUUAUUUAUUUACAUUUUUAAAUGUAUAUGCUUUAUUUAAUGACUACAGGCAUUACUGUGUGCAUGCAAACUCUAAAAUAUAAUACAAGUAUUAGUAAAAAUAUCAUUGUAUUUAUUAGAUAUUCCUACAAUAUCUUUAACACCAGACCUUUAGCAUCACAGUUGCAUUUCAUCGGUUGUAUGCCAUCAUCUUUUGAAAAACGUAUGUUAAAUAUCAGUCUGUUUUUCUUAAAUAUCGGAAUUUUCUCUGAGAUCUCAAUUCCAAAUAAGACCUUUUACUUAUGAAAAUGUAUAAAUUUGUUUCCUUUAUAGCAGCAAGCAGUCUUCUGGCAUUUACACUGUUAUACCUAAGUUUUUAAAAAUUAUUAUUAAAAAAAUGUAUAUAAGAUUGUUGGAUUCUAUUGAUUCAUUUCCU
Long non-coding RNA from Podarcis muralis (Common wall lizard), 2259 nucleotides. Lineage: Eukaryota; Metazoa; Chordata; Lepidosauria; Squamata; Lacertidae. The record is from Ensembl.